CCUACGGGAGGCAGCAGUGAGGAAUAUUGGACAAUGGACGAGAGUCUGAACCAGCCAAGUAGCGUGAAGGAUGACUGCUCUAUGGGUUGUAAACUUCAUUUAUAAAGGAAUAAAACGAGGCACGUGUGCAUUUUUGCAUGUACUUUAUGAAUAAGGAUGGGCUAACUCCGUGCCAGCAGCCGCGGUAAUACGGAGGAUCCGAGCGUUAUCCGGAUUUAUUGGGUUUAAAGGGAGCGUAGAUGGGUUGUUAAGUCAGUUGUGAAAGUUUGCGGCUCAACCGUAAGAUUGCAAUUGAUACUGGCAGGCUUGAGUACAGGUGAGGUAGGCGGAAUUCGUGGUGUAGCGGUGAAAUGCUUAGAUAUCACGAAGAACCCCGAUUGCGAAGGCAGCUUACUAAACUGUGACUGACAUUGAGGCUCGAAAGUGUGGGUAGCAAACAGGAUUAGAUACCCCAGUAGUC
This 460-nucleotide ribosomal RNA is filed under the name uncultured bacterium. Its description in RNAcentral is "partial 16S ribosomal RNA". It matches the Rfam family "Bacterial small subunit ribosomal RNA", at positions 338 to 795 of the family's 1533-position model. The record is from RNAcentral.